GACAGAGGGUGCAAGCGUUGUUCGGAAUCAUUGGGCGUAAAGGGCGCGUAGGCGGUUCGGCAAGUCGAAUGUGAAAGCCCAGGGCUCAACCUUGGAAGUGCAUCCGAAACUAUCGAACUAGAAUCUCGGAGAGGGUGGUGGAAUUCCCAGUGUAGAGGUGAAAUUCGUAGAUAUUGGGAGGAACACCGGUGGCGAAGGCGACCGCCUGGACGAAGAUUGACGCUGAGGCGCGAGAGCGUGGGGAGCAAACAGG
This 253-nucleotide ribosomal RNA is filed under the name uncultured prokaryote. RNAcentral's name for it is "partial 16S ribosomal RNA". It matches the Rfam family "Bacterial small subunit ribosomal RNA", at positions 524 to 776 of the family's 1533-position model. The record is from RNAcentral.